This 175-nucleotide unclassified non-coding RNA is filed under the name uncultured Cladophialophora. RNAcentral describes it as "sequence contains ITS1". The record is from RNAcentral. Lineage: Eukaryota; Fungi; Ascomycota; Eurotiomycetes; Chaetothyriales; Herpotrichiellaceae.
AUGAGUUAGGGUCUUCUAGGCCCGAUCUCCAACCCUUUGUAUAAUUACCAUGUUGCUUUGGCGGGCCCGUCUUUAACCGGACCGUCGGGGGUUUUUAGCCCCUGGCCAGUGCUCGUCAGUAGCCCACAAUAAACUCUUUUAACCAUGUUAAAUCUGAAAUUAGUUAAAUAAACUA